RNAcentral lists this ribosomal RNA (253 nucleotides) under uncultured bacterium. RNAcentral's name for it is "partial 16S ribosomal RNA". It matches the Rfam family "Bacterial small subunit ribosomal RNA", at positions 524 to 776 of the family's 1533-position model. The record is from RNAcentral.
UACGUAGGAGGCGAGCGUUGUCCGGAUUUACUGGGCGUAAAGCGCGCGCAGGCGGCACACUAAGUACGAUGUGAAAUCUCCCUGCUCAACGGGGAGGGUGCAUAGUAAACUGGUGAGCUAGAGGACGGUAGAGGGGGGUGGAAUUGCUGGUGUAGCGGUGAAAUGCGUAGAGAUCAGCAGGAACACCCGUGGCGAAGGCGGCCCCCUGGGCCGUACCUGACGCUGAGGCGCGAAGGCUAGGGGAGCGAACGGG